This 1976-nucleotide unclassified non-coding RNA is filed under the name Hevea brasiliensis (rubber tree). Lineage: Eukaryota; Viridiplantae; Streptophyta; Magnoliopsida; Malpighiales; Euphorbiaceae. The record is from RNAcentral.
CUUUUCUCUCAUGCCAACUUUCAUAGUGACGUAGAACUAUUCAGCAAAUGAUACUUCACGAGGACAUAUAACAAAAUAUGUUGCCACAAUAAUUAGCUAUAAGGGGAAAAAAAAUUUACAGUAAAUUCAAGAACAAGAGAGCUAGCUUAUGGGCUCUUCAGAAUCACCACUACUUAAUUCUGCUAAUCAAAUUUUUUUCCUACAACAAAAAAGGGAAUCGAUCCCAUGAGAGGAAAAAAAGUACAGAAAGGAUCCAUAUAGGAAUCUCUCUAUAUAUGGAAAUGCAUAACAGAGCUCAGUUUUUUUCUCCAUCUUAGAUUACAUCACAUGCUGCUGUUUGAAUGAAUAAAACUGAAUAUCUGUUGAACCGAACUUGCUAUAUCUUCUGCUGUGAACCUAGAUUCACUUUCAAUCUUGACAUUGAAUGAAUAGAGAACAGUUUGUUCAAUGGUGGUAAUGUUGAUGUGGAGGAUGUUAAGCUCCAAAUCUUCUAGAGCCGCGAUGGUGUUAAUGAGCUGACCUGGCCUUCUCCUAGAUAGGAUCUUGAUCAUGGCAUCAAACCCUAAAAGCUUCACCUCAACAUCAGCCAGGCAGGACUUGUUCUCAGCAGUUUCCUCGCGGAGUUCAGUUUCGAAGUCUACAAGUUUCAUAUGAUCAUCUGGAAGAGGCAAAGGGGGAAACAAUGGAGGUUGAGGUUGCUGGAUUGCAAGAGAGGAAUGUCCCAUCUGUCUUGAAGCUUCGCCAUAGAGUCUUCGCCUCUUUUGAGAUUCUAGGCAUUGAAGGAGUUGCUCCAAUUCCCUAACGAACUCAAUGGCUCCACCAAUAAUAGAAGCAUGAUCUCCCUGCAAAAAAAUUACAGACAACCCAAUCUUGUUUUAGUAUUUUCUUCUUUGAAUAAUACAACGAAGAAAAAACAAUGAAUGAACGAGAGGGUUUCAGAUCCAAGAAAGGUUUUGAUGAAAAACAGCCAAUUGUGAGAUCUUUUCAAGGAAGCAACAUUUAAAAUUUGAUACCCUUUGCACACAAGAUCCUGGCAUGAGAGACCUCAAAACUCGAAGAUGCUCAUUCAUUUGCUUCCUUCGAUUUCUUUCCACUGCAAUAUGAGCCAUUCUUUGGCUUUCCACUUCCUCACUUGUCUUGAUAGUCCUUGGCCUUUUCCGCUUGUUCUUCGCCUCCGGUAUAGGGUUCUUGUUUUGAAGAUCUUGAUCUCCAAGUAACUGGAGUUGCACCGAAGUAUUAUCCGAAAUCCUAGCUUCUACUUCCUCUCUAACAACCCUAUCUUCUCUCACAAAUCCUGCUUUAUUUUCCACACUACUCCCUCCUUUAAAUCUCUCUUCAUUUUCUCCACCUAGUUGAGGAACCAUUAGAGACUGUCCCUCCCUCUUAUCGUUCAAUACAGGAAACUUCAGGAAGUAAACUGGAUCAAUACCAGUUUCUACCUCAGAUAUCUUAGUUUGAUUUAAGGCCAACUUAGGCCCAAAAUCUGAAAAUUGCAUAACAUCUGCGAAGCUCAAUUUAUCAAGGGAAGUUGAAAUGCAAAACUCAUAUGAUAGCUGUUGCUGAUGAGGAUGAGGAUUAUUGAGCAUAUAAUCGAUCAUUCCGUUGCUGCUAUCGCCAGAACCUUCACCAAUUCGAGACUUAAUGAGUUCGUGAUCUUGUUGUUGAUGGUGAUGAUGGUGGUUCAGAGAGUAAUCUAGACCAGUAAAGGUUACCGAGUAGUUGUCUUCUUUAUCCAUUGCUUUUAUAAAUGGAUAACUUUAAUCGAAAACCCUAAAGUGACACUCAAUUCAUGCAAGGACAAAACCCUAGUGAAAUUUCCCAAUGGGUCGUCCUCCUGAUUGGAGAGAGAGAGAGAGAGAGAUCAGAGAGGGUAUAAUAAGACAAUGGUAGAAAAUGAAGGUGGGGUUAUGUCAUUAGAAGAGCAGAAGGUAGCAUGGGGGUACCACCAUGGAAAUAGAUAUUUUAUAUAUAAUAAC